AGCCUUGACUCCAACACUCAUCAAAAUGAGCAGCUUCGCAGAAUUGCGAAAGAGGUUUUCACUUUGCCAAAUACAAUCACGUAGUCUCAGGAUUUAGCUGUCGCUGACAAAACCAGCAUUUAUUGCCCAACCCUUGUUGACCUGGAGGAGCUGGCGAUGAGCUGUCUUCUUAAGCCACUGCAGCCCACCUGCUGUGAUUAAUCUACAAUUCCCUUGGGAGAGAAUUCCGAGAUUUUAACCCAGUGGUACUGAAGGAACAGUGAUCUGUUGCCAAGUCAAGAUGAACUGGCUAUGGGAUGCACCUUACCCCGCAGCAGCCACAGUUGCCUCUGAGGCCACAGCACCAAG
Molecule: non-coding RNA, 348 nt
Organism: Chiloscyllium plagiosum (whitespotted bambooshark)
Lineage: Eukaryota; Metazoa; Chordata; Chondrichthyes; Orectolobiformes; Hemiscylliidae
Source: RefSeq, a predicted model, not a curated record